AAAACAACAAAAAUUCAUUUAAUACAACAAGAGGAGGAUUUUGGGGCAAAUCCCGGAGAUUUUGGGGGUUCCCGGCGGAUCCGGCCGCGCUGGGAUGAACCCCCAGCCCCACGCGCCAGCGCGGGGGAAAAACCGGAAUUUUGGGGGGUCCCCAGAGCCUUCCUGGGGUUUAUCCCGGUUUAUCCCGGGGUUUAUCCCGGUUUAUCCUGGGGUUUAUCCCGGUUUUCUGGGUUUAUCCCGGUUUAUCCCAAGGUUUAUCCCAGUUUAUUUGGGUUUAUCCCGGUUUUCUGGGUUUAUCCCGGGGUUUAUCCCAGGAUUUAUACCGGUUUAUCCCGGUUUUCUGGGUUUAUCC
Taeniopygia guttata (zebra finch) is the source of this 352-nucleotide non-coding RNA. Lineage: Eukaryota; Metazoa; Chordata; Aves; Passeriformes; Estrildidae. The record is from RefSeq and is a predicted model, not a curated record.